AUGGUAAACAAACGUUUCGGGUACAACCCUUUUUCAAUGCACCAUAUCUAUGGUGCAUUGAAAAAGGGUUGUACUUGAAACCUUUGUUUAUCAU
Molecule: non-coding RNA, 94 nt
Organism: Pelobates cultripes (western spadefoot toad)
Lineage: Eukaryota; Metazoa; Chordata; Amphibia; Anura; Pelobatidae
Source: the annotation of a GenBank genome assembly